RNAcentral lists this ribosomal RNA (389 nucleotides) under Aleiodes sp. HD-425. Its description in RNAcentral is "partial 28S ribosomal RNA". Lineage: Eukaryota; Metazoa; Arthropoda; Insecta; Hymenoptera; Braconidae. The record is from RNAcentral.
CGAAUGAAGAGAUUCAUCGUCAGCGUAUUCAGUAUUAAUGCAGGCUAUGAUGUGAUGAUAGAAUCCUUGUGGUCACUAGAUUAUACUUGCUUGUAUUAUUUUUGCUGGGUAGGUCGGCGUGCACUUCUCUUCUAGUAGAACGUCGCAACCCGUUGGAUGUUUAUUUAUGGCCUAAAUGGUAGCCUCUGAUAUUUUAAAAUAUCGAAGACCUUUGGUGUCCUGAUAAGCUGUCUGACGGUAAACAUAUAGUAUUGAGCCGCAAUUAUUUGCGUUAGACUUACCGCAAGUAAGAUUUUAGUCUAGUAGUGCAGAUCUAAUGCUGUCGCUGGGCAAAGUCUACCUGUUAGCUGUGUAAUGUCUUUAACUGGSUUAUUUUCUGGGUUGCGAGC